UGUUCUGUGGCUUAGUUCGUUAAAGCGCCGGUCUAGCGAAUACGGAGUCGUGGGUUCGAAUCCCACCAGAACGC
This is a non-coding RNA of Aedes albopictus (Asian tiger mosquito), 74 nucleotides long. NCBI's taxonomy places the organism in Eukaryota, Metazoa, Arthropoda, Insecta, Diptera, Culicidae. The record is from Rfam.